UGGCCACUGAUCUUUUACAAACUUUUGAUGAUUUUUCGGCUUAUUUGAAACGAUAUUAUUUUUCGGAUGGUCAACAAGUUCAUGAAGCAACAGACGUCGUUCAUUUGAGUAAAUAUGCAUGGCUUCGGUUAUAAGAGACGUUUCAGCAAUUUGUGCUUCUUGGAGUGCAUCUUGAAUGUAUAAACCAGGAAGAUGUUUUAAGAGUUUAAAGUGUCUCCUCUUUCGGUCAAAGUCAACCAUACCCAUGAUUCCACUAACAAUAAGUUCCCUCACAUAUGCUUGAGGAUAGAAAAUUCCCGAUCGAAUGAGUUCGUUUAUGAGCAACUGAACACGUUUAAAACCUUCUCCGCUUUGGGCUUGGUGUUGAUCAAUCCAGCACACGAUAAUAUCAUGUAACGGUCCUGGACUUUGGAAGAACUGUGACAGGUCUUUGACUUUUCUAACGCCAGCUUUUGGCCUGCUUGAACUUCGCAUGUUUCUUGUUUUCAUCUCUAGGAGCCGAGUAGCAACAUAUACCUGAGAAAAGUCUCGUUUUCCGCUGAAUUUAAUACCACGAGGCGGACCCACUCGAAAAUCCCGAAAAUCACAAGUGGCCCACUCGCAAAUAAAAAACACAGAACACAUGAAUGACGACCCUACUGUACCGAUCCACUUUAGAGAUGACCGUAAACACGUGCUGACGUCAGCUAUCCAUCUUUUAUCAAAAGUUUCAUCACAAAAAUCCUCAAACAUGCACUUGUAAGCAAUAGUAAUAUCUCCAUGUAUAAGAGCUUUAUCUAACUCAUGCACAACUUUGGCCACGUUAUGACCCGAAUAGUCCGGUUUUGCAACUUUUGAAAGAUUGGUUGCACGUUUCCGAAUGGAAUAAACAACCGAAUUAAUCGAUAACUGCUGCUCCCCAGUUACCCGUGUAAUCAAACUACCGUCAUUUGGUGCGUUUAAAACCACACAUGAAGGGAGUGGGAAGCAAUUUUGCGCAACAAAAGUAUCGGGAACCGCAAGUAGUAAGUAUCGAAGAAUUUCGACCAAAGCAGUGAUAGUGUAUGCCCUCCUAGAGUUAUCCACAAGAUCUGAACCACCCGGUGACGGUUCUUGGAUAAACCGAACAGCUAUUCCCACUAGGAUAUGAACGUAAUUUUGCGAUAAAACCAUAGAUUCUAUAACAACAUAUAUGAUCGGCAAUAGCAAUUGCAAUAUCACAAGUAAUUCCUUCUCCUGCAAUUGAUUCAGAACCCAAUCGAUGAUUAAAGAAGGGAGAAGCAACCCUUCGGCAUAGUGCCACUGUAUGAUUCGAACGACAUACCACCACUUAAAAUGUAAAGACGGUUCGUCACUAUCAACCGCUGACACCAAGUCAUUCUUGUGCUGGAUGGACCCACCAUAAGCAAACUGGGGUGAUCGAUCCUUAAUAUGAAGGGUAGAAUGGGAAUUACUUUUUUGAACAAAUUCAUCCAAAAGAUGCUGUAAAUACUCGAUAACAUCUU
This 1484-nucleotide long non-coding RNA is filed under the name Helianthus annuus (common sunflower). Its description in RNAcentral is "sRNA HanXRQr2_Chr13g0619161". The record is from RNAcentral. Lineage: Eukaryota; Viridiplantae; Streptophyta; Magnoliopsida; Asterales; Asteraceae.